RNAcentral lists this ribosomal RNA (497 nucleotides) under uncultured bacterium. Its description in RNAcentral is "partial 16S ribosomal RNA". It matches the Rfam family "Bacterial small subunit ribosomal RNA", at positions 28 to 507 of the family's 1533-position model. The record is from RNAcentral.
GAUGAACGCUGGCGGCGUGCCUAAUACAUGCAAGUCGAGCGAACAGAUGAGGAGCUUGCUCCUCUGACGUUAGCGGCGGACGGGUGAGUAACACGUGGAUAACCUACCUAUAAGACUGGGAUAACUUCGGGAAACCGGAGCUAAUACCGGAUAAUAUAUUGAACCGCAUGGUUCAAUAGUGAAAGACGGUUUUGCUGUCACUUAUAGAUGGAUCCGCGCCGCAUUAGCUAGUUGGUAAGGUAACGGCUUACCAAGGCAACGAUGCGUAGCCGACCUGAGAGGGUGAUCGGCCCCACUGGAACUGAGACACGGUCCAGACUCCUACGCGAGGCAGCAGUAGGGAAUCUUCCGCAAUGGGCGAAAGCCUGACGGAGCAACGCCGCGUGAGUGAUGAAGGUCUUCGGAUCGUAAAACUCUGUUAUUAGGGAAGAACAAAUGUGUAAGUAACUAUGCACGUCUUGACGGUACCUAAUCAGAAAGCCACGGCUAACUACGUG